GAUGAACGCUGGCGGCGUGCCUAAUACAUGCAAGUCGAGCGAACAGACGCGGCGCUUGCUCCUCUGACGUUAGCCGCGGACGGGUGAAUCACGCGUGUAUAACCUACUUAUCUGUCUGGGAUAAUUACGGGAAACCGGAGAUAAUCCCGGAUAAUAUAUUGAACCGCAUGGGUCGAUAGUGAAAGACGGUGUUGCUGUAUGUUCUAGCUGCUUAUCGGCGGCUUUAGCUGGUUGGUAGGUUAACAGCCUAUCAAGGCUACGAUGCGUAUCCGACCUGAGGGAGGGAUCGGCCACAUGGGAAGUGGAACGCGGUCCAGACUCCUACGGGAGGCAGCAGUAGGGAACCUUACGCAAUGGGCGAGAGCCUGACGGAGCAACGCCGCGUGAGUUAUGAAGGUCUUCGGAUCGUAAAACUCUGUUAUGAGGUAAGAACAAAUGUGUAAGUAACUAUGCACGUCUUGACGGUACCUGAUCAGAAAGCCACGGCUAACUACGUG
RNAcentral lists this ribosomal RNA (497 nucleotides) under uncultured bacterium. RNAcentral's name for it is "partial 16S ribosomal RNA". It matches the Rfam family "Bacterial small subunit ribosomal RNA", at positions 28 to 507 of the family's 1533-position model. The record is from RNAcentral.